This 21-nucleotide transfer RNA is filed under the name Christinus marmoratus. RNAcentral's name for it is "partial tRNA-Tyr". The record is from RNAcentral. Lineage: Eukaryota; Metazoa; Chordata; Lepidosauria; Squamata; Gekkonidae.
GUUUAAGCCCUCUUACUAUAA